Molecule: transfer RNA, 73 nt
Filed under: Chloroflexota bacterium
Lineage: Bacteria; Bacillati; Chloroflexota
Also listed under: 1 other name
Description: Chloroflexi bacterium tRNA-Arg
Rfam family: tRNA
About the family: Transfer RNA (tRNA) molecules are approximately 80 nucleotides in length. Their secondary structure includes four short double-helical elements and three loops (D, anti-codon, and T loops).
Source: RNAcentral
GCCUCUGUAGCUCAGCGGACAGAGCACCGGUCUUCUAAACCGAUGGUCGCAGGUUCGAGUCCUGCCAGGGGCG